RNAcentral lists this ribosomal RNA (482 nucleotides) under uncultured bacterium. RNAcentral describes it as "partial 16S ribosomal RNA". It matches the Rfam family "Bacterial small subunit ribosomal RNA", at positions 30 to 507 of the family's 1533-position model. The record is from RNAcentral.
AUCGAACGCUGGCGGCAUGCCUUACACAUGCAAGUCGAACGGUAACGGGCCUUCUGGUGCCGACGCUUGGCGUACGGGUGAGUAAUACAUCGGUACGUGCCCUAUCGUGGGGGAUAACGAGGCGAAAGCUUUGCUAAUACCGCUUACGAUCUACGGUUGAACUCCGUGGACCGCAUGGCCUUGCGCGGACGGUUCGGCCUAUGGCAGAUUAGGUAGUUGGUGGGAUAAAAGCUUACCAAGCCGACGAUCUGUAGCUGGUCUGAGAGGAUGAUCAGCCACACUGGGACUGAGACACGGCCCAGACUCCUACGGGAGGCAGCAGUGGGGAAUGUUGGACAAUGGGCGCAAGCCUGAUCCAGCCAUGCCGCGUGCAGGAUGAAGGCCUUCGGGUUGUAAACUGCUUUUGUACGGAACGAAAAGCCUUCUUUUAAUACAGGAGGGUAAUGACGGUACCGGAAGAAUAAGCACCGGCUAACUACGUG